UACAAGUGAUAGCUGACAAGUCUCUGGGAUCACAAAGUCAAGCCGAGUACAGGGUGAUGUCAUCUCUGCAACCAACAUGAAUUUUCCUUGAGGGAGAUUUGCAAGCAAGACUCUCUGUUGAUAUGGCCUGGGGGCAUAUCCAUGACCAGCCACAUGCCUGGACCCUGUGGAUGGAGUGGGAAGAUGGAUUUGGAGUAAUGUUCUCUCAAUCAAAUUUACAAUUUAAGGAAAAAAAAUACUGAUUGCAUUGUAAUAUUUUCCAGUAGAAAUGAUAAAAAUCAAUCAGUCCAGAAUUACAGAAUCCAGCAAAGCUGUACAUUAAACCCUGGGAGGAGGGGAGGCCUCUUGUUAGGCAGCCCAUUUCGAACAAAGUGAGUCUCUGCUUCCCGUGCAUGGUAACCAGCAGUCACCUGGCACCUGAGUCUUUGAUCUGCCUGCAGAAGGUUGUGGACGUGGUGAUAGAGGGGACUCUGGAGGGAAGGGAUGAGCAAAGCUAUAACUUGAGCCCAGGAAUCAACUGGCAAUGGGAUCCCAGAACCUAGUGGGCUUAAUCUCUCACGAAUCAUCCAAAUUCAAUUCUGGGACUUCCUGAGAGGGGCUGAACGGUGAGCCUCAUCCAGAUACUUUUUUUUUUUUGGAUAAUAAAGUGCUAAUCAGCACCUUCUAUGGAAGACCCCUUUCCACACUGGUUUAUCUAUGAAUGAGGUUUGCAUAUAAACCAUGAUUUGCCAUUUAAAAUAGGAUCUGAACUUGGGGUGGCCAACCCCUUGGGAAAUCAUGACUCCAUUACUUUCUGUCAGAGGUAAAGUAGUAAUUUUGAACUCUGGACACGGAUCCCAGAACACAGCACCAAACCUACCUGAGAAACACCCCCAUGCUCGGACAGCGUGUCCUCUCACCUGCAUUGACAGGGGCUUGGUUUGCAGACAGUGAUCAAGCUCUUCACUCACAGGCAGGUCAUUUUAAAAAUCUCUUUGUUCUUAAAUUGCUAGGCCUUAAGGAGAUAAGGUGUGUUACAGACAUUUUGUCCCGUAAGGUCCAAGAGGUACGCAUGCAGCUGGUAAUCAUUUAGUAAGCAGAGUUCAUGUAAAAGAACGUGACUUGCUUCAGGUAACACUCUUCAGAGUUGACUGGCAUUGCCCGUCCAUAUUUGUUGGGACAUUUUGUUGCUUUCCUUCAUCUGAGAAACCAGAAAGAGCAGAACCCACGAGCUCAGGUGAGCAACGUUGCAGCACACAGCAGAGGAAGUGCUUCAGAGACGCCCAGGUCUAGGUUCCAAGUGGAAGCCUUCUAACUCCUGUGCCCCUGGGAGGAAAAGUGGUCUUCCAACUGGAGAGAGGAGGAAACUCAGAGUUAAAAGGUGGGGACUCAGAUAAAGAGAGACUCUGAGCAAAUAAUGGAAUUGGGCACCAACCUGGACCCAGGCCAAGCCACAGGUGGAGCCUCCAGAGAUGGCAAUAACCAGCCAGGUGGAGCACACCUUUAAUCCCAGCACGAAGCUGAGGCAGGAGGAUCGCAAGUUCAAAGCCAGUCUCUGCAACUGAGGGACACCCUGUCUCAAAAUAAAUAAAAAAUUUAAAAAGGCUGGGGGUGAGGCUCUGUGGUUAAGUGUCCCUGGGUUUAAUCCCUGGUGUGUGUGUGUGUGUGUGUGUGUGUGUCAGAGAGAGAAAGAGAAAUAGCAAGACCCGAAGUUGACAUGCCCGUGUGGAUAAAGUCCCACGGCAGCCUUGCAGUGCUCCCAGGGUCCCUGUGGGGUGCAGUAACAGCGGAGCACUUGGGUGUGUCCUCACUCCCAGCCUCAUGGGGUUGCCCCCGUCCAGUGAGUGUGGA
This 1830-nucleotide long non-coding RNA is filed under the name Marmota monax (woodchuck). The record is from RNAcentral. Lineage: Eukaryota; Metazoa; Chordata; Mammalia; Rodentia; Sciuridae.